This 33-nucleotide transfer RNA is filed under the name Orthotrichum killiasii. RNAcentral describes it as "partial tRNA-Ser". RNAcentral also lists the same sequence under 1 other name. The record is from RNAcentral. Lineage: Eukaryota; Viridiplantae; Streptophyta; Bryopsida; Orthotrichales; Orthotrichaceae.
UUUGUUUACCGAGGGUUCGAAUCCCUCUCUUUC